Long non-coding RNA from Phalaenopsis equestris, 485 nucleotides. RefSeq lists it as uncharacterized. The record is from RefSeq and is a predicted model, not a curated record. The transcript has 3 exons. NCBI's taxonomy places the organism in Eukaryota, Viridiplantae, Streptophyta, Magnoliopsida, Asparagales, Orchidaceae.
AAUUAAGUGUAAUCUUUUGGUAGUAAAAAUAAUAAUUGAUUUUCCGCAGUAUGGCGUGAAGAUAUUUGUCCUAACGUCAUUCAAGGACACAUGCUACAUUGAAAUCAUGCCUAUUGAUCAAAAGUCCAAACGAGUUAUUUUCUUGAGUUUUUGGGCUGAGGUGCACUACAACUCCAUUUAUCCUGAAGGAGAGCUACCUGUUCCUGAAACCAAGAGGAAGAAAAGUUGGUGGCAUUUUGGACACAAACAUUAAACUUAUUUGCAAUUUCUUCCAAAAGGCUCCUACUUUUUAUUGCAGAACCCUUCUUUGUAGAACCGGUGAGCUCCAGAGGCCUGUGGGCUAUUGAGAGAGUGAGUAUUCAUGCAACAGACUGCUUUCAUCCUCGCUUGAAUCUCACACUUCACAAUCAUGUAUAUUACAGUGUAUAUAUUUUUCUUAUAGCCACCACCCCCCUCUUACAUAGUUUUCUCUUCUUAAAAGAAGC